This 827-nucleotide long non-coding RNA is filed under the name Salvia miltiorrhiza (redroot sage). Its description in RNAcentral is "long non-coding RNA (SMIL_LNC013095)". Lineage: Eukaryota; Viridiplantae; Streptophyta; Magnoliopsida; Lamiales; Lamiaceae. The record is from RNAcentral.
GUGGAGGUUUCUGCGUGGAUUGGUAUUGGGAGGGAUCAGAGGGCGGUGUCAGAGAGAUGGAGAAGAGAUUUGAGGUCGGAGAGAGCAGUGGUAACAGAUGGCGGUGGCGGAGGCGAAGUUCCGGCAGGAUGAUGACGAAGACAUGGAUUGGGUGUAUUUUUCUCAAGAACCCUAAUUUUAUUUUGCCCUCAAUUUUUUUAUUUUUACCUCAAUUUUUCGAUUGGAUUGCAUUUAAUUCCCUAAAUAGACAUAAAACUACGUCGUUUAGGGUUUAGCUUAAACUAUGUCGUUUGCUUCGCCGAAAACUUAAUCCUACGUGGCUUUCCGACAGCCAUGUCAGCAUUAGUUAUAUUGCCGAUCAAUUUUAUGGGAAAAACGAGAAACGGAAUUAAGUUCAAGGAUUUUAACAAGAAUUUUAAAAGUCACGGGAAAAAUGCGAAUUCGGGGAAACUAUAGGGAUUUUGGUGCUAUUUGCCCUUGGAAAGUCCGCAACUCCCGAACGACGCCAGACAAUUCCCCAAUCGCCUUCUCUACAUCCUCCAAACGAGAUUCGGUACUUCGCGUAGUAACCAUCGCUCACCGCACCAAUUUGAUAGAGUAAAGGCGUAUGAAGAUGAAGAAAUAAGAAAGGAAAUAAAAAUACGAUAUAUAAACUCCUCCUGCGAGGCCCUCAGAGAAAGAUAUCUCUGCCCUACAGCUAUUGCUGUCCCUAAAUAAUGAUCCCAAGAUAAUUAACCCUAAGUCGUAAAGAACUAUAUAUAGACCUAAUGACUUGAGGCCCAAUUAAAUAACUUGGAGCCCAUGAGUCUGACCUAAAUAACUUAACC